GAUCCUGGCUCAGGAUGAACGCUAGCUACAGGCUUAACACAUGCAAGUCGAGGGGCAGCGGGGUUGAAGCUUGCUUCAAUUGCCGGCGACCGGCGCACGGGCGAGUAACGCGUAUCCAACCUUCCGUACACUCAGGGAUAGCCUUUCGAAAGAAAGAUUAAUACCUGAUGGUAUGAUGAGAUUGCAUGAUAGCAUCAUUAAAGAUUCGUCGGUGUACGAUGGGGAUGCG
This 229-nucleotide ribosomal RNA is filed under the name uncultured bacterium. Its description in RNAcentral is "partial 16S ribosomal RNA". It matches the Rfam family "Bacterial small subunit ribosomal RNA", at positions 15 to 235 of the family's 1533-position model. The record is from RNAcentral.